UCGGUCCCUAUCUGCCGUGGGCGCUGGAGAAUUGAGGGGGGCUGCUCCUAGUACGAGAGGACCGGAGUGGACGCAUCACUGGUGUUCGGGUUGUCAUGCCAAUGGCACUGCCCGGUAGCUAAAUGCGGAAGAGAUAAGUGCUGAAAGCAUCUAAGCACGAAACUUGCCCCGAGAUGAGUUCUCCCUGAGACCUUGAGUCUCCUGAAGGAACGUUGAAGACGACGACGUUGAUAGGUCGGGUGUGUAAGCGCAGCGAUGCGUUGAGCUAACCGAUACUAAUGAACCGUGAGGCUUAACCUU
RNAcentral lists this ribosomal RNA (300 nucleotides) under Enterobacter cloacae BIDMC 8. RNAcentral's name for it is "bacterial LSU rRNA". It matches the Rfam family "Bacterial large subunit ribosomal RNA", at positions 2631 to 2925 of the family's 2925-position model. The record is from RNAcentral. Lineage: Bacteria; Pseudomonadati; Pseudomonadota; Gammaproteobacteria; Enterobacterales; Enterobacteriaceae.